Molecule: RNA transcript, 3255 nt
Organism: Populus trichocarpa (black cottonwood)
Lineage: Eukaryota; Viridiplantae; Streptophyta; Magnoliopsida; Malpighiales; Salicaceae
Gene name: protein CDC73 homolog
Exons: 6
Source: RefSeq, a predicted model, not a curated record
UCACCAUAGAGAAAUUUAACAGUCCUCCACCCCUGCGUCACCACUCCACCGUUUUACCCGUGUACAGUUCGUACACAAUACUUACAAAACCCCUCAUCCUGAAGAGUUCGCUGUGAAAAUUGAAGUAAAUCCCACUCUUUCUUUCUAAACACUGAAAAACCUCCCAGCUCACCAAUGGAUCCACUCUCAGCACUCCGCGACUUCACCAUCCGGGGUGACCUAGACAAAAUAAUCCGCAUCAACGACGAAUUCCGCUUCGGCAACGAAUACACCUUCCCUUGCUCAACUAAAACCGCUUACCGCUCCAAACAAGGCAAUCUCUACACACUAGAAACCCUAGUUUACUGCAUCCAAAACACCAAAAUCAAGUUCACCAAUUACCUCCAAGACGCCCUCGCUCUCGGCAUCCCCCCUGUCACUUACAUCGACUGGAAACCCGUCAAAGAAUACCUCUCCGGAAAACUCUCUUCUACCGACUCCAUAGUUUUCCCUCUUCCUCAAGAAUCUCAAAACCCUAAUCUUAAUUACCGCCCCGAUGAUCCUAUGCUUCUUGAUUCUCGAAUCGAUGAUUCCGCCGCCGCCGACAAGGUGAACAAUGGGAAUGAGGGAGUUGAAAAUCACGUUUCUUUGAUUUACGCCAACGAGAGGCCGUUGAAGGAUAGGGAGUCGUUGUUGGAGUGUAAGAAUAGGGAUUUUUAUGGGGUUUUGGUUGCUUCCACGCGCCGUGAAGAGGAGAGGCAUAAAUUUGAGAGUCAACAGAGGAAAGAUGGGUUAGUGGCGAAGAGUAGGUUGAUGGGAACUGAUGAGAGAGGAAUUGGGUAUGGUGGUGAUGAGUUGGGCUAUGAUUCAGCGGCCAAGCCCAAAAUGCAUUCGAAAGGAGGGAAAAUUGGGGAGGGGGUGCCCAUAAUUUUGGUGCCAAGUGCGUUUCAGACUUUGAUUACGAUUUAUAAUGUGAAGGAAUUUUUGGAAGAUGGGAUUUUCAUACCGACGGAUGUGAAGGCUAAGCAGAUGAAAGGGCCGAAACCGGAAUGUGUUACAGUGCAGAAGAAGUUUAGCACUGAUAGGAAUAGAGUGAUGACGGCUUAUGAGGUGCGGGAUAAGCCGUCUGCACUCAAGGGUGAUGACUGGGAUAGGGUUGUGGCAGUUUUUGUGCUGGGGAAGGAGUGGCAAUUCAAGGAUUGGCCCUUUAAGGAUCAUGUUGAGAUAUUUAAUAAAAUUAUUGGAUUUUUCAUGCGGUUUGAAGAUGAUAGUGUGGAGUCUGCUAAGAUUGUGAAGCAGUGGAAUGUAAAGAUUAUCUCGAUCAGCAAGAACAAGAGGCACCAGGAUAGGGCUGCAGCGUUGGAGGUGUGGGACCGACUAGAAGAAUUUGUGCGCUCACAAUCACACACUUGAAGUGUGCAGACUUUUAGAAGUGUGUCAAUGGAAACGAUUUCAUAACCAGCUACAAGCCAUUCAAAGUGCAGAGGCAUCGUGGAAGGAUGGAAAGCGUGCCAUGUCUGAAUAUGUGGAUGUCAUGGUCUCCUGUUGGUUUCAUUUUGUGCAAGUUAACUUUCAGUGGUUGUUUGCAGCUGCGAGCUGGAGACUUUGGUUUUUGCGUGGAUCUGAUAAUUUGUUAGACAGAAUUUACAACAGAAGGAAGGGAAGAGAGCAAACGUCUCUUCAGUAAUACAAAACUACACCAACCUUUGAUGAGGUCGCAAAAAAAGUAAACAAUACAUGCACCCUCAACCGACGCUCUCGGUAAUAUAUUAUAUCAUACAUCAAUGACCAAGGAUAUGCAAUGUGUAAAGUAUAGUGUAAGUGUUGACUGGCUGGCUGAUCAGAAAAUCACUGUGAAGGUUGAACCAUAUGAAGCGGCAAAGAGAAGGAAGAACAGUAAAGAGAUUGAGAAAUCCAAGGAGCUUCCACCUGAUGUUCCAUCUGUUUGUGUUGAUGGUACAGUUUUGGAUGCCGUUCCUACACCAGUGAAUGUCACCUUGAGCAAGUUAAUAGCAAAACAGAGUCUAACAUGAUGAAAAUCCUUUUAUGAGGAUCUAUUGGUGUACAAGCAUAGAAUAACUUGAUCAACCAUAUGCUGUGUUUUCAUAGCAAUUAAUCAUAUGCAAGAAAAAAAGUUCGGUGUAAAGAGGCACCGACUUGUUUAGUUAUUUUACUUUCAGUUGCACUAUUUGCAUAUAAUACUGUACCUGAAGGGGUGCUUGAAGCUUCUGGUGUUCCCGCAGGUGAGGCAGCUGGAGAGGCACCUGUCCAAUACAAUGUUAUGAGUUGGCAUCAGAUCAGAAUGAAAAUUUUGAAAAUCUACGAAGGAGAGUUUCGAACUUGAAACCUCUUGGGGGAGGAGGGGCGCUAUUGCCAAUUGAGCUGUAGCUCAUUGGCAAUUCAAAGAAAGUUGAGGUUGCAAAGAGAGAAGUAAAAUAAGUUCCAAGUUCCUUACCAUUGCAGCUGCUGAUAGGUGGAGUUUGCACAUUGCAAGCACCAGGUAAGGCUAUAGCCUGAGUUUUGUUGACCUCGAUCCCUAGUGAUGAGCCACCGCCAUUAAGAACCUGGCACAAGCACUGGGGUGAUGAGCGAACAACACUAGCUAGCUGAGUGCAGCAUUGUGAGGAUGGAGUUGAGGAGUUCCCUGUAAUGUAAUUUAGGCACGGUGACAUGCUGAUUAAAACAUUUGUACAAUCUGAUUGAGCCAUGGCUCCCGCCCAAAGCAUGGUCACCAGGACCAUGGUCAAACCCAUUGACAUCGCUGUGUGGGCCAUUGAAUCUCUUCACUUAGGUAUUGGAAAUGCUCGUGGAAUGUGAAGAUCUCUUGUAACUAUUGAGUUUGAUUAGCUUGAUGGAACGGGGAGAAAAGGGUAUGGCAUUUAUAGGGAUCUGAUGCAAGAACAGGUAAAUUAGAAGAUCCGUUAUGUGGGUGACCAACUCUUCCUAAUUUCCAACGGUGGGCGUUUUAGUCAACUAGGCCAGCUUGGACCUCAAGCUGUUCCUACUCGGAGACCCUGGAAAUUUGCUGCGCGGCUUACAUGUGGAGUUCUGAAGGUCGGCUCUAUGGGUGAACAACUUCUACUGUCUGACGUGUCUUCUGGUACCAAGCAGCUUAGAUGUACAAUAAAAGAUUCUUUUUAAUUAUCUAAAUUAAAAAAAAAACCCAAUUUUACUAAUUGGAUAUAUUAUAUAGUUUUGUAUUAUGAAAGGAUUUUUUUUACAUGAAAAGCUUUGUUUAAUAAGAAUACUUGGGCAAUUAAUUUUUUUUUAAUCAAA